UAAUACGGAGGGUCCAAGCGUUAUCCGGAUUUAUUGGGUUUAAAGGGUCCGCAGGCGGGAAAAUAAGUCAGUGGUGAAAUCCUAUCGCUUAACGAUAGAACUGCCAUUGAUACUGUUUUUCUUGAGUGUAAUUGAAGUGGGCGGAAUGUGUCAUGUAGCGGUGAAAUGCAUAGAUAUGACACAGAACACCGAUUGCGAAGGCAGCUCACUAAAUUAUUACUGACGCUCAGGGACGAAAGCGUGGGGAGCAAACAGGAUUAGAUACCCUGGUAGUCCACGCCGUAAACGAUGAUUACUCGGUGCUAGCGAUAUACGGUUAGUGCCUAAGCGAAAGUGAUAAGUAAUCCACCUGGGGAAUACGGUCGCAAGAUUGAAACUUAAAUGAAUUGACGG
RNAcentral lists this ribosomal RNA (393 nucleotides) under bacterium enrichment culture. RNAcentral describes it as "bacterial SSU rRNA". It matches the Rfam family "Bacterial small subunit ribosomal RNA", at positions 521 to 916 of the family's 1533-position model. The record is from RNAcentral.